RNAcentral lists this ribosomal RNA (500 nucleotides) under uncultured Myrionecta. Its description in RNAcentral is "SSU rRNA". It matches the Rfam family "Eukaryotic small subunit ribosomal RNA", at positions 34 to 600 of the family's 1831-position model. Lineage: Eukaryota; Ciliophora; Litostomatea; Cyclotrichida; Mesodiniidae. The record is from RNAcentral.
CUGAUUCAGACUAGCCAUGCACGUCUAGUACAAACUAAAUGAUGGUGAAACUGCAAAUGGCUCAUUACAACGGUUAUGAUGUACCCGGGAGUUCCGAUGGAUAUUUCCAGUAACACUAGAACUAAUACAUGUCCCUGCGUUUAUUAGUUUCGCACAGUCCGUCGCUGAGUCAUGGUAAACAGUUGAUCGACUCGACGUCCCGGAACAGUUUCCGCCCCAUCAGCUUCGAUGGUUGGGUAUUGGCCUACCAUUGCAACAACGGGUAACGAGGAAUUAGGGUUUGAUUUCGGAGAGGGAGCCUGAGAAACGGCUACCACAUCUACGGAUGGCAGCAGGCGCGCAAAUUACCCAAUGCAGACACUGUGAGGUAGUGACGAGAAAUAAUAAAGCGGGACUUCUGUUUCGCUAUUAUAAUGAGGAAUAACCAAAGGUCAUUCCGAUUAGCAACUGAUGGGAAAGUCUGGUGCCAGCAGCCGCGGUAAUACCAGCGUCAGUAGCAU